AGUUUGAUCAGUGGCUCGAGGACGAACGCUGGCGGCGUGCUUAACACAUGCAAGUCGAACGGUGAAGGGAAGCUUGCUUCCGGAUCAGUGGCGAACGGUGAGUAACACGUGGGCAAUCUGCCCAGACUUUGGGAUAACUACUCGAAAGAGUAGCUAAUACCGAAUAUUCAGCCUUGCAGGCAUCUGCGAGGCUGGAAAGUUUCUCGGUCUGGGAUGAGCCCGCGGCCUAUCAGCUAGUUGGUGAGGUAAUGGCUCACCAGGGCGACGACGGGUAGCCGGCCUGAGAGGGCGACCGGCCACACUGGGACUGAGACACGGCCCAGACUCCUACGGGAGGCAGCAGUGGGGAAUAUUGCGCAAUGGGCGAAAGCCUGACGCAGCAACGCCGCGUGCGGGAUGAAGGCCUUCGGGUUGUAAACCGCUUUCAGCAGGGAAGAAGCGAAAGUGACGGUACCUGCAGAAGAAGCACCGGCUAACUACGUG
This 483-nucleotide ribosomal RNA is filed under the name uncultured bacterium. Its description in RNAcentral is "bacterial SSU rRNA". It matches the Rfam family "Bacterial small subunit ribosomal RNA", at positions 10 to 507 of the family's 1533-position model. The record is from RNAcentral.